UUUUAAUAAAUUUAAUUAUUAAUAAAAUCUGCUCAAUGAAAAUUAAAUAGCCGCAACCUAGUUUGUGCUAAGGUAGCAUAAUCAUUUGUUUUUUAAUUAAAAACUAGAACGAAAGAUUUAACACUUAAAUAACUAUAAAAUUUUUCUAUAUAAAUUUAUUUCAAAUAUUAUAAAAUAUUUAUUAAAAAAAAAGACGAUAAGACCCUAUUAAACUUUACUGAAGUUUAACUGGGGAAGUUAAUUAAUUAUAAUUUUAAUAAAAUUUUUAAUUUAAAAGAUCUAAUAAAAUUAAUUUAAUGAAUAAGUUACUAUAGGGAUAACAGCGUAAUAAUUUUUUAAAGAUCUUAUAAAAAAAAUAAUUUUACGACCUCGAUGUUGAAUAAAAAUCUAUUAAAAGCAAUAAUUUAAUAAGAAAGUCUGUUCGACUUAUAAUAAUUUACA
This 441-nucleotide ribosomal RNA is filed under the name Hapona sp. CG113. RNAcentral's name for it is "partial 16S ribosomal RNA". Lineage: Eukaryota; Metazoa; Arthropoda; Arachnida; Araneae; Toxopidae. The record is from RNAcentral.